Molecule: ribosomal RNA, 498 nt
Filed under: uncultured bacterium
Lineage: Bacteria
Description: partial 16S ribosomal RNA
Rfam family: Bacterial small subunit ribosomal RNA
Source: RNAcentral
ACUCAAAUGAAUUGACGGGGGCCCGCACAAGCGGUGGAGCAUGUGGUUUAAUUCGAUGCAACGCGAAGAACCUUACCAAGGUUUGACAUCCCGAGAAGUCCGUGGAAACGCGGAUGUGCCGCAAGGAGCUCGGAGACAGGUGGUGCAUGGCUGUCGUCAGCUCGUGUCGUGAGAUGUUGGGUUAAGUCCCGCAACGAGCGCAACCCUCGAUGCCAGUUGCCAACGGGUAAUGCCGGGCACUCUGGCGUGACUGCCGGUGACAAACCGGAGGAAGGUGGGGAUGACGUCAAGUCAUCAUGCCCCUUAUGCCUUGGGCUACACACGUGCUACAAUGGCCGGGACAGAGGGCAGCAAAGCCGCGAGGUGGAGCCAAUCCCUAAACCCGGUCUCAGUUCAGAUUGCAGGCUGCAACUCGCCUGCAUGAAGGUGGAAUCGCUAGUAACCGCAGGUCAGCAUACUGCGGUGAAUACGUUCCCGGGCCUUGUACACACCGCCCGU